CAAGAAAAUUGGCAAAGAAGCCCAAGUCUUGAUCAUCAAACAUGGUAGCGCGCAGAGCAGCUGAGAUCCAGGAGACUUGCAAAGGUCAAGAGUGGAGACCAACAAAACUAGCGGCUAGCGUUGCGCACGAAAUCUGAAGAGCUUGCGACGUGUCGUUUAACGACGUGCAAAUAAUGAUAAAUGGUUUGUGCGGCUGUUGAGAUUCAUGCCUGGGUCUCCUCGGCCACAUCGUG
This 233-nucleotide unclassified non-coding RNA is filed under the name Hevea brasiliensis (rubber tree). Lineage: Eukaryota; Viridiplantae; Streptophyta; Magnoliopsida; Malpighiales; Euphorbiaceae. The record is from RNAcentral.